UUCAUCAUUCGCUGCCCGCCCGAGGAGGGAUGGACCCAGCACCAGCCAAUGAUCGUACCCAGCCCGUGGCUCCCGCCCAAUCACCGUGAGGUGCCCGCGGAUUUAAACCAAUCACACACUAUCACUUGCAGAAGUCAAGGAAGAAACCAGGCUCCUGCUAGCAACUACCAAUCCGGACUCCUACUUCGCGGGUUUUGGCCAAUUGCCGCUCACCCGUCCCUUGGGACUGGAGUCGGCGCUCUCGCGCCUGCGCUCGAGAGGAAGACCAAUGGAGAGACGCAGAUAACUUCGAUUUGGGGCUUCAUGGACUUCCCACCUGCCCUCGAGGUCUUCCACCAAUAAGGGCCUGGGAUUGCCUCCGAGAAACAAUAAAUAAGGGAGGGGGCCCACAAACCCUCACCUCCCUGCGCGGGAACUACUUUGAGUUACGAAAAGAGACUGAUAGCCAUAAAGGUCAACUAUCUAAGGUUAACUCUGUAAUUCUACGACUAGUUCAGUCCUCAAACAUAGAUCUCCUAAAAUAAGAUUUCACUACUUUGGCGAUAGCAGCAUAGAGCUUUGGAGAAGGGCAGUGAGAGUGCUUGGAAGGGGAGGCACCUCAAGAGAAGCAGAUUGGGUGUAUGGGAAGACCCAGCCUUUGGGGAACCUAACCCACAUAUGAGGAAGAUCACAAUUCUUCAGGAAGCUUUUGAACAUCUCCAGAGCCUGAACAGGCUGCUGAUUUCCGGAAGAACAAAGGACCUCAGCGCUCCACUCUGACCCAGGCUUCCUCACCUGCUACUUCAGGGCCUCCACAAACCUCUCCCCACCCAGGAAAUCGCAGGCCAGGUUAGUGUCCCCCGUGUAGACAAAAGGGCACAAAGGUCAUUUUGCCGCAACUUCCAGCAGAAUGGGCCCCGUCACAUGCUGCCUCUGGUACUGAGACCUAACCUGGGAGCUGAGGGGAGAAGAGCUAGGAACUGGGACUCCCUUGGGGCCCUUUUCAAUUAGCCAAAAACUGCUCCUAGAUAUGGGCCUACCUGCUCCCCCAGGAUGACAGUUCUAUCCCACAUCCUCUUCCUGGACCCUAGGGCCCUCACCUCCAUGUCCUCUGCUUCCAAUCGAACAGCUGCCUCUCCCUCAACCAUUGCUUCUUUCAACAAAUAUUUGAGUACUUACAGUGUUCCUGACACUGUACAGGUGCUGGGAUUGUAACAGUGCGCCCCUUUCCUGCCCUACAUUUAAUCCCCAUGGUCUCUGGCCUGUCUCUCCCUGACUGUGGGGUCACAGCCUCGCUGUAGUGACUUUACCGGUGGCUGCUGGAUCUCCUCGGGUUCACCUGCACAGUCCCCAGGCACGGAGUGAGUCCCUGCCUCAGGUAAUUCUGGUUUGGCUGCAAGUACAGGAUGGGGCAUGGAUGCACUCAGGCACCCCACGGAUGGGACCAUUCGGAGGCUGGAGGCAGCGAGUGUUAAGUGUAGGAAGGGGUUAUGUGGUAGAGAGCCUCAGAUAUUCCCUCCCUCCAUUCCAUUAUUCCACGCCCAGUCCCCCCAGACUCAGUGAAUCCCAUAGAGAUGUUCUUUUUGUUUGGAAUCCCACAAACUUUUUCUAUGCUUUAUACCCCUGAUCCAUUUCUUUCUUUUUUUUUUUUUUUAACUUUUUAAAAAAGUUUUAUUUAUUUAUCUUGAGAGGGGGAGAGAGAGAAAGAGCAUGAGCAGGGGAGGGGCAGAGAGAGAGUCCCAAGCAGUUCUGCACUGCCAGCACAGAACCCAACGUGGGGCUUGAACCCACAAACCGUGAGAUCAUGACCUGAGCCAAAGUCAGCCGCUUAACUGACUGAGCCACCCAGGUGCCCCUCAAAAAUAAAUAAACAUGAAAAAAAAAUUAAAAACAAAACAGGGAGGGACAGGGGGAUAAACAAUAAUACAUACAUACAUACAUACAUAUAUAAACAAUAAAUCAAGCAAGCACACUAGGCAAUCAAAGUGCUGUGACAAGUAAUGAAGCAGAACAAGUUGCUGGAGUGACAAAGAGGUGGGCACUUAUUUUUGUUUGAGGAGAUCUCUGACUAGGAUCUGAGCAGAGACCUGAGGAGCUGAGGGAGGAAGCCAUGCAGGCAUCUAGUGGCAAAGGGUUCCAGGCCAGGGACCAGGAAGCACAUAGACCCUGAGGCUGACAUCUGCUGAGUCUGUAGGUGAAAAUGAAGCAGAGCUGAGGUGGUGGACAGGGAGGAGGAGGGUGGUAGAACAGGAGGUCACAGAGAAUAGGACUGUGGGGCCUGUCAUUCAAGGUGAGGACCUCGGCUUUCCUCUAGUAAGAAGAGAAGCCAUAGAGGAUUUUGAGCUGAGGAUGACGAGUUUUAAAAGACUGUUGCAGGGGUCCUUGGGUGGCUCAGUUGGUUAAGCGUUCAACUUCAGCUCAGGUCUUGAUAUCGCGGUUCGUGAGUUUGAGCCCCAUGUCUCUCUGCCUCUCCCCUGCUCUUGCCCCCCCCCAAAAAUAAAUAAAUAACCUUAAAAAAAAAGAGUAAAAGAUGAUUGCAAGGACAGGAGACUACAGGAAAACAAGGGUGGCAGCAGAAAUUUGCAACCAAAAAGCCCAAGUUGGGUGGCCCUUCGCUCAAAAAGCCAAUACUCAAGAGAAGAAUUUUGAUUGGCAACGAAUAGGAGCUUUAUUCAGGAGGCCAGGCACCUGGGGAGAAAGUGGACUCUUGUCCAAAAAUCAACUCUGAGGUUUCUGCCUGGCCCAAAGAUUUUUAAAGGAACUUCAGGGCAGUUAAUCAGUAAAAGGGGAGCACAGUGGUCGGUGACACUGCUUGACCACGUGCACACUCAGUGGUGCCAGCUACGGAUGUUAUCUCUGUAUUCAGAGGUUGUGUCCUGGUAUUGUGCAAGAGGGUUUGUUCCAAGUCUUUCGAGGAAACAACGCGUGAUGUAUAGAUAUACAAAGAAAGGUUAUAGAUAUAACCUUAUACUUAGAUAUACAAAGAAAGUUAACCAAUCACAUGGGCUAAAGGUGCUUGCUAAAACUUAAAGACUACUAAGUUGACUGGAGAGGCUGAGGCAGUGACUUCAGAAUCACCAAAUUAGAAGGAUAUUAUAAUAGUCCAGGCAACAGAUGAUGGUGGACUGGACUAGUUGCAGAGGUGGAGAAAAGCGAUGCCUAUAAUAACGAUCUCCAGACCGCAAGGCAUGGCUCUCACUGUCUCGCACCCCACCUGACCAACCACUUACUGGGGUGGCCAUGUGGAACUGGCACCUUCAGAAGAGGUUGCUUGUGUGUGUUGCCAGCAUAAUGCCCCUUGUAGCCUUGUGCCAUCCUCCGUGCCCCCCCUCCCCGCCCCCGGCAGGGUGACUAGAGGUUGAGGGUGUUGAAACCAAUGCCCUGAAUCAUGCCAUAAACCUCCAGGACCAGCAGAGAGGAAUCAGUCCAAGAUCUUUCCAGGAUUAAGGGUUUAAUCACAAUAUACUGUACUUCUGGCACAGGGUCUAAUUACAUUGACACCCAACAUGAUGAAAACUUCCAGUAGGGCAUGUGAGACCUGAGCUUGUGCCCUCUGGCCUCUUGGAGCUGCCCCUGGGGAACACCUGCAUGAAGCUGCAGGUACCACUACAACCUUUCCCCAGAUAGAUGGUUACCAAGUACCAGUCAGCUCGGACAAGCCAGUGGGCUCUAUUCUGAUCUAGGGGACAGAGUUCACUAUUUAUGUAUGUAUGUAUGAUUUAAACAUUUUUUAACAUUUAUUUAUUUUUGAGAGACAGAAUGCGAGCCAGGGAGGGGCAGAGAGAGAGGGAGACACAGCACAGAGCCCGACACAGGGCUCAAACCUACAUACUCUGAGACCAUGACCUCAGCCAAAGUCAGACCCUUAACUGACUCAGCCACCCAGGUGCCCUAUUUUUUUUUUAAGUUUAUUUUUAUUUAU
Acinonyx jubatus (cheetah) is the source of this 3901-nucleotide long non-coding RNA. RefSeq lists it as uncharacterized. Lineage: Eukaryota; Metazoa; Chordata; Mammalia; Carnivora; Felidae. The transcript has 5 exons. The record is from RefSeq and is a predicted model, not a curated record.